Molecule: long non-coding RNA, 7119 nt
Organism: Columba livia (rock pigeon)
Lineage: Eukaryota; Metazoa; Chordata; Aves; Columbiformes; Columbidae
Exons: 5
Source: RefSeq, a predicted model, not a curated record
GAACACCAAAAUGUCUGAUGCUAAGGUCUGCUGCUUUGAGUGGGUGACCCUUCUUCCAUCAGAAGAGGCUGCAGAGCUGCUGCUCCCCAUUGCCUCUUGUCUCCUUUGCCAUUACAUCCACCCUCCUGCUUAGGAUCCAUAUUCCCUGUGUUAUUUUCUAGUAUUUAAUUCUCUGCAUUUCUUCCGUCCACCAAGUGGUUAUAUGUGGGUAAAAAUUACACAGAGGGAACUAUACCAUUGAGGCACUGUGAGAUUAAUCUUCUUAAUAAUGAUAGCAGAAGAACAGAAAGCUUACUAUACCAAGAAGAUACAUGUGCCUUUACAAACUGUUUAUUUCAUAAGUUCUUGAAACUAGCAUUACCCAGGGAUUCUGAACUCAGUCCCAGAGAUUCCCUUCAGGAUUUCUGACAAUGACCUUCAAUAGACCUGCAAUUCAUGACUAUGUACACGGGGCUGUCUGCGGCUCAGACUUCAAAGCUGACUCUGUCUUUGAUGCCUGGGUUAGACACCUGGGGACAGGACUUUAAAAGAUCUCCAGAUUUCAAGGCUUUCUGGGUUGACCUUGUUUAUAACAAUUAAGCGACCAGAUUUUCAAGUAAGUUUACAAGGUCAAAUGGUCACAAGGAGAUAAUGGAAUUUAGAUGGAAGCUUAUGAGCUUAACUGCGGGGGGGUUUACGGCAGGCCCGUGCAGGGGGAGCCCUGUUCAUGCCACUGAGAAUUUGUAAAGUGGUACAUUGGGCAUUUUGGUAAAAGGUACAUGCUGGAAAGGAUUUGGGGCUUUCAUCUGUCAUAUAGGGGAACGGACAUGCAUCAGACCUUCUGGAGAGGGUUUUGAGCUUGGCGAUGAAAAACUUGCAUAAAGACACGUCAGACACUGACACUUUAAGAACUUCCUAUGGUAUGUGAGUUUUCCCUGUGUUUCGGAUCAGUGCGACUCAGGACUCCAGCAAAACUCAAUCUAGCUAAUGGAAAAGAAGAAUUUAUGCAGAAAGGGAUUGCUCUACUUCCCUUGAAUGCUUUUUGUGAGGGUGGCAGCACAGAGAUAUGUUCAUGGAGUCAUUUUUAAGUAUCAGAAGUUGACAGUAUUGAAGAAGUUUGUUUCAAGACCAGUACAUUAGUUAUCGCCUGGAUAUUCAAGACUUGUUUGCCCCUUGAGCACCCUUGAGGGAAAUAUGACUGAUGGCAAUAAAACUACUUGCAGAAAUGUGUUAUUGCCGACAGACAGUAACGGAGUUGCCUAUCUCCCCACAGGCAGUUGCCAUAUGUAUCAAGAUGUUUCUUAUGAGCAACUGGCUUCUCUAGAGGAGUUUAAAUCCUUUCUAUACUCCUGUCAGGAGAUGUUCAGCCAUGCCAAGAAAACUCACUGUGACAUGCACACUAAUAGGCUUCAUUUUACAGAAUCACAGAACCGCGGAGGGCAGGAGAGAUCUCUGGAAAUCACCUCCUGCAGUCCUGUUGCUCCAAGCAGAGCUGAACUCGGGGCUGCGGCUCAGGACUCCGUCCAGCCUCCGGCAGGGAUUGCUUGUUGUUUGGACUUGGGUGGAGCUCGGUGUUCGGCUCCUCCACACAGAACCUCUGCCCAAAAGUCUUGGCGGUAAGACAGCUUUGCAAUUUCUCAGCGCUUGUCCAGCCCUGGGUUAUACAUCCACUGCAGUCCCCUAUAGGGAAUACGCGGGAAGGAAGCCCUGAAUAUACAUGGAGAUGGAGAAUGAGAGAGGAUAACAAAGAAUUCACAAGUGAACAAUUCCAGCGGCCCGGCCUGACAAUCUGAACUAGAAGGUGCCCAGUGGGAUGGCUGUAGAGCAACCAAUUUUAUUGCUCCAAUUAUCGGAGGGCUGACCAGGACUCCAUAAAACCCUUCCCCUUCCACAGGAAUUAUGUGCUGAUCGGGCAGGGAUAUCCACACAUCACUGGCUUUAUACUCCUCACUCAAGCUGACAACAUCAGUUCCCACUGAACAAAUGUCUAGCGUGUCUCUCACUCUCCCUCUAUCCUGAUAAAGAUUUUGGGGGGUUUCUUAGCGUCAUGCUUAAUUUCACACUGUCAAAUUUGUUUUGUGUUAAUUGCCAGGGAUUUCUAUGUAAAUCACUGCACCUUCAGUUUGGGACUUGCAGUUUUCGAAGUGACUUUUGUCUGUAUAGAAGUACAUCAAAUCUGCUGUAGAAUAUAUUUUUAAAGGGGUAGAAGACUUCACACUGAAAAUGAGGUGCUGCACAUUCACACAAUACAAAACUCUAUAAUGACAACCAAAAUAUUUAAAAUAUUCUUAGAAUUCUUAGAAUGUUCAUUUCAGUAAAGAAAACUUAUUAAAAGUAGGUUUUUAUCUCUAUGAUCCAACUAAUUUCAUAGCUGACACAGCCUUCAUACACACAUAUAAAAAUCUUUCAUGAAAAAAGUGUCCUUCUGGGAUACCCUCAUAUUUCUGGGCCAAAUUAUCAGCUGGUGUUGGCAAAGGAAGCUCCCUUCAGUGCUGAAAGCAUCAUCUCAGUGGAGAAACUACUUUACAGAUUUGAGACUAGAGCAAGAGACCACCCAUGAGCGCACACCCCGCCACAGAAGGGCGGUGGAUUGCAGGUCCCUGCAGGCUCUGACAAGCGUUAAUUAAGUGGUGAUGUCAGGAUCAGUCAGAUCAAAGGUGCACGUAGCACUGGACUUGUUCUCCAGCAGCGAGUGCCCCGGGAAGCCCAUGAGAGCCAGGUCCUCACCUCCUGAUGCUCCUCCCAGCUCAGGCCGUUCUGAGGUCAGAGGAGGCGGCUUUGGGUUUAACAGUCUCAGGGCACAACUCCAGCUUUCUACCAGGGUUUUCCCACCACUCAUUGCUCCGUAUUCUACCAAAUUACCUCUCUCCUAUCCCUGGGCUGCACAACUUAGUUUUACCAAUCGCUGCAUGGAAGUUCACCACUACAAACCCAGCUUUAAAACAUUCCUCCCGAGGAAGCAAAUACAUUGAAUUUUGCAAGGAGUGCUGAAGCCUCAGGAAACAAAUAACUAACGUCUGCAUCUGGAAGAGCCACGGUCGGGGGUGUAAAGCAAAUUGCUCAUUAGGGAGGAGGCAGAAAAGAACAAAUGUCCCAUCCUGCAACACAUUCACAUUGUUGCCUCACAUACCCAUCAAGCUAAAGCUUCCACUAGUAAUUGAGCUGGCUAAAUGUAUCCUUUGUUAGAGGAAAAUGUGGCCAGGCUGUUCGCUCCCUUUUUAUCUGACAGCUUAAUAGAGUGAAGCUCACGUAAUAAAAAUGAACACUGCAAAGGAAAAUUAAGUUGGAAUAAUUUACUAAGGAUCACACCAUGUUACUUUUUAAGUCCCAGAAACAAAUGUCCUGUAACACGUUAUUGAGGCACUGGCUGAGGAGGAAAUAAUUGCAGAAUGACUUGGAGGAAAGGUGGAGGAAUCAGUUCCAUUCAACAGAGAAUCUGCCUCUUCCCAAAUGGGGACCGAGAACCAUUUCCAGCUCAGCUUGUUUCCCUGUUUCAUCUCCAACGCCUGUGAAAGAUGAAGACAAAUCAAAGCGAGGUGGAGGAGCAGAACCCCGGUGUCAGCGUCGGGGAGCCCAGACCCGGCAGGCACCGAACCCUCAGGAGCUGCUCGCGUCUCGCAGACACACGGCUCCGCGUCCUCUGACUCGGCCCAGAUGUUGCUAUUUUAAGCCAUUCCCGCCUGUCUGCUGCAGUGUCAUGACGCUGCAGGCUCUGCAGGCUCUCCCCUUCAUUUCCCACCCCAACGCAAUGGUGCCAGCAAGAAAAGAAGCAUUUUUAAUCAUCUUUUGAUUCUGAGUUGUCUUUUCCAUUGCUAAUAGUGUUUUCUGUUUCUCUGUGACUAGAGCAAAAGAAAAUUAUAUAUAUACAUAUAUAUAUAUCUCUCUCAACAAUCAUCCAGAACACUGCACAUACAAUCAUUCACAUUCCUUAUUCAUGACUGACAAGAAUUUUAACUGGCUAAUUUUCAGUUUUAUCAAAACACCAAAUUACAACUGCAAUGGCUUCAUUGAUUUUCAAAGCAAUUUUUCCCCCCGAGAGGUGGUUUGCUUUCGGCCAUGAAAAUUCAUGUAUUUCAGAACCAAAUCUAACAACUGAUAUCUUCCUAUUGUUACCUUGCUGUUGGAGCUCUGUAGUUUACUCCUUGCCAUUUGAGUAGCGAUUAACAUAAUAAUUAGAUUUUUACAUAAAGCCCUGAUCAUCCCAAAGGAACUGCAGAUAUUCAGCUGAAUAUAAGCUAUUCAAUUCUCCUUUAAACAAAGGCCAGAGUCUGCAAGUAGCUAUAUUAGACCAGCUGAAUUGGUUGGACAAACGAGAAAAGCAUCUAGUUAUACAAGUUGUUCUUAACAUCCCUUCUAUAGACAAGUUCUGGGUACAUUAGACUUAUUUGUCCCACUUCCUCGCCUGAUCUAUUAAAAGAUUUUACAUCUGCCUACAACCUUUUUUCUUCCUGUAUUCUUAAACAAAAUGCCUAGUGCCAUCUCCAAAUGAAAGUAUAGCCUGAAAACUAGACUCUUCAAAGUGGAUUUUCUACUUAUUUACUUCAUGUGAUCUCUCUGUCUUCAAAAAAACUUCUAAAAUAUACAUGAUGAUUUAAGUUAUUGUGUAGAAGCCACGAAGAGCAUCCAGGCAGUGCAGUGGAGCAACGCGACGCCUCCCCGCACAGCUCUCCACAAAGGGGCUGGACAGAGUUCUGGAAAUCCGGGAUUUCAGACAGAUUACGAAAAUCCUCCCAAGACAGAUUUUAGGGGAUAAGGGCAGACACAGGCUCCCCAAAGUCUCAUCAUUCGCGGUGAUGUAAUCCUCGCAGGGGACUUGGGACUGCGCUCAUCUGUCUCGUUGGACAGACAGGGUGAACGCCGAACACCUCAAACAACACGGAGAACGUUUUGAAGCAUUUAUCACCAGUGCAGCUUUAAAGACAUGGCAAGUUUUAAGACUACCAUGUUGAUUUAGCUAUUCCUAAGCAAAUAUCCAAUAAUCUAUUAAUGCCAAGAAACAUUCGUGUUGCAUGCCAGCUCUUUAAUAUUAAAAAGCCUGUGUCCCUCUGUGAUACCUUUGGAACACCUGCCCAAAAUCCUGGCUUUGAUGGGCCAGUAGAUCUGAUGCUGUAGCAAUUCCCUGCCAGCCAAGUUUGUCACCUCCCAUUUCAGAGGCAUCUGUUGUGAUCAAACACAUAAUUUUGGGUCUCUUUUAUGGCAGAGACUCCUGACUAGCAAUGGGUGUCAGUCAGAUACCCCAGGUGAGGAGCAAGGAUUCUCUUCAAGAAGCUUCGGGACAAUUUAGUCUCUCCUGACUUUUGCCAGCUCUUCUGUGGUGUAACUCUCCACCCAUCAAUCUUCAAGGAAAAAUUAGCAGAGGAAAAGGAGACCCACAAAGACCCCCAGAAAGAGAGAAACCUCCUCCUUCCCUGCGGUAUUCAGGAUAAAACAACACGCACUAAUGGACCCUGAAGUAGCUGGAUUGCAGGUAAGACUUCCCAGGCUGAGCAAUACCUGUAACAAGCACGUAUCUCUACUGUGGGACAGACCUUUUAUCCGUUCUUCUGGGACCGGGCUACUGAGAGCCACAAAGACAGCUUUCUUCACUGUGAAACUGAAAGGGCUGUCAUGUGGAAUAAAUCAUUGAUGUAAUGGAAAGAAAAAAAAUACAUAUAUAUAUCCUCCAAGUAACCCAAAUUAAAAGCCCAGUGGUAUUUUCUGGAAGAAAAAAACUAAACCCACACAACUCUCAACCAAUGCAGCCGACCCUAAUAUUGAAAGCACAUCCUUGCCUUUGGUGAUUGAUUUUAAAUAGACUCACGAUGUCCUUCUACUUCAUGUAGAAGUAAUCAGCAUUUGUUUUCAUGAGGACACUAGAGCAGCGCAACAUCCCUUCUAUCAUCCUUCUAUUGACAGAGUUUUUUUGAAAGAUCAGAAGCAGCAGAAUGCAGAAAAAGCCUCCAGAGACAUGAAAGUGCCUGCACUUGACUUUCAUUGCAGGGUGCGCAGCCAAAGCAAAUCAAACAUCUGGGAUGUGCAGAGCCGCCUGUGUCGGGUUGAGGUGCCUGUCAGAAGGUCUCACGCAUAUGCAGUUGUCCAAAAUCUGCUCUCCUUGGGGUGCUUUACAUUGUUUUGACAUAUCAUUCACAGUAAAAACAGAACAGGAGCUGGUGAUUCAUAUUGCAACGUGUCACAGUAAUCUUUCUGAUGAACUGCCAUCUGCCUUAUCCUCACCAGCAAACUGUGUUCCCACCCGCAGUGGAGCCCUUGGAAUGGAGCGGCCGGUCGGGGAAGGCGGAUGCUCAGACACAGCCCUGAUCCGCUCCACUGACCCCAGGACGCUCUGCAUCACCCACGCACACCCGGUGCCCAGGGGCAGGAUGAGCUUUGCCUCCCGCUCAGCUUCCCAUUUUUCACCCAGUGUUGUGGUCAGGAGAGAUUCCCCCACCCACAGCAGACACUGAAAGGGACAGACAGACAGACUUGCCGGUCAAGCAACAGAACAACCAUCCCAACACUGAAUCGCACAGUCGCACCCCUUCAGCUUUGGCUGAUGGAAAUUCUGUUCUUCUUCCCCCUUGCCUGCAUCCUGAGAUUCAAGACGGACAGUGCGAGCCUGCAAUGAUGUCCACAACUGCAUCUUGCAAACUGUAUUUGAAAGAAUUUGAGAAGACUAAUGGCAGAGAUUCAGUGUCAAAAAAACCCAACACGUCAGUGAAGAUUUGUAGCUUGAACUGGUCCCUGCUUUAUUUUCAGGGAGUUACUCACACUGCCCUUGUCAAACUCACAGUAGAAUUUACUUUAAGAAGUAAUGAUUUUACUAAUACUGUAAUUUGUAUCACAGUAGUUCAAGCCCUCACUCCCAUUAAACCGAAUAAAAUAUGGUCCCAGCCCCUAAGAUCCUGCAGCUGAAUCGUUUGUUUCUCUCACUGAGCCCUUAGGAAGCUUGUUAGCGCUUUGUUGUAGGAAACACUCUUACAGAAAAUUGAUCUUUCCAAGCUUGCUAUGAGAAUUUUCUUCCAGUGCUGCUAUUCUCAAGCUACUAUUUUGAGCAAAACUUACAGAGUUUGAUAAAUCUUUGGGUGCUAUUCAAGAAUGGUCAUGAGCCUGUCUGGUCACAUUUCUUUCCUAACUUCUCUUAUGAAAGGUUUGUUGUUUUGG